This 1563-nucleotide long non-coding RNA is filed under the name Marmota monax (woodchuck). The record is from RNAcentral. Lineage: Eukaryota; Metazoa; Chordata; Mammalia; Rodentia; Sciuridae.
GUUUGAUCUCUGAACUCAUCUGCCAUGUUGUGAAGGAGCCCAGGCCACACAGCAGGAUCAUGUGUACAAGUUCCAUUUGAUGCCCGACUGUGACCUCUGCUGAUCUUUGGCCAGCAUCACUAACCAACCAUGUGCAUGACUCAGCCUUCAGGACUCCAGCCCCCAGUCUUCAAAUCAGUCAGCUGAGUCUCCACAGAGCUGGUCUCCAAAGCAUUGACCUACAGACUCUGUAGCUGAGUAAACAGUUGCUCUCUCUUUUGUAUAGGUAGUCACUGAAGUCAGAGGUGGUGGGGAGCUUGACCAGGGAUCCCUGUGAUUAAGUGAUGGCCUCUCUGUAGGCCAUGUUACCUGUGGAGUGGAGACACUAGAGACAGGAAGGCCAAUGAGGAGGCUAGUGCACCUGUCUGGUUCUUGGGCAAGUGGGUGGAUAUCUUAGGUCUCUCAAACUGAGGCCCUGUCUCAAAUUAAAAAAUUAAAAGGGCUGGGGAUGUAGCUCAGUGGUAAAGGACCCCUGGGUUCAAGCCCCAGUAAGGGAGAAAAAAAAAAAAGACCAAAAGAAUUUUUUUUUCUUUCUGCAUAAAUUCUCCUCAGUGCUCAAGGCCCAACCUGUAUCUCACUUCCAUAGGUGGACACCUUGCAGGAGGGGAGCUCUCUUCUCUCUGAGGUCCUGAUCUUGCUCCCACUGCUCUAACAGAACCACUCAUGUCCUGCCUUACAUACAUGUCCUGCUUGGUGUAUCUUACUGAUAAUUCACAUUUAUUUAUUUUUUGUUUGUUUUGGUGCUGGGGAUUGAACCUAGGACUUAUGCAUGCUAGGCACAUGCUCUAUCCGGCCCUCCCCCCACUAGACCCCCUCAUUCUUCUUUUCUUUAUUUAUUUCUUUUUUGUUGGUGGUUUGUUUGUUUGGUUGGUUUUAUUUGUUUGUUUGUUUGUUGUUGUUGUUGUUGUUUGUUUGUUUUAUUCCUUGGGGCUGGGGAUUGAACCCAGGAGCACUCUACCACUGAACUAUAUCCUCAGUCCUUUUUGUUUUUUAUUUUGAGACAGGGUCUCACAAAGUUUCCCAGGUUGGCCAAGAACUUGGGUCUUUAGCCUCAGCCUCCCAAGUAGCUGGUUUACAGAGUACUCUUUUCUUUAAGAUGCUUUCCAUAUUGAAGUUUUAUUGGGUAGUUUUGUUUUGUUUUGUUUGUGGUGCUGAGGAUUGAACCCAGGGCCUCACACAUGCUAGGAAGGCUCUCUACCACUGAGCUACACUCCAGCCCUUGUGCCUGAGGUAUUUUUCCCUAUCAGGGGGCACAAGGAGGCUCUGGGAGGUACUGGUCAAGUCCUGUCUGUUAAUCUGGACACUGAGUAUAUAGCUGGAUUUGCUCUGCAAAAUUUUAUUAAACUGCACACUUACAACUUAUGUGCUAUUCUUCAUGCAUGUUGUAAAUUUGAAGUUCACUUAAAAAAGAAGUUAUUAUGGGGCUGAGGCUGGGGCUCAGUGGUAGAGUGCUUGCCUAACAUGUGUGAGGCACUAGUUUCAAUCCUUAGCACCACAUACAAAAAUAAGCAAAUAAAAUAAAAG